Molecule: long non-coding RNA, 772 nt
Organism: Panthera uncia (snow leopard)
Lineage: Eukaryota; Metazoa; Chordata; Mammalia; Carnivora; Felidae
Exons: 3
Source: RefSeq, a predicted model, not a curated record
CUCUGUUACAGAUAUUUUGUAGGUGCUUGGGCUGUAUCAAUGAGCAAAAGAGUUUCCUGUUCUCAAGGAGUUUAUGGUCCAACAGGGAAGAUGCCGCACUGGCACCGGGCACAUGGGCUGAACUCAAGGGAUUCGUAACAUUAAGAGAUGUCUCAUAUAACUAUAUGAUGCUGAGAGAAGAUGGGGACAAAAAUAAAAGAAGAAGAAGAAAGUUCCUUAGCUUUAAGAAUUUGCAUUUUGGGGGCGCCUGGUGACUAAGAGUUGGUUAACCAUCUAACUCUUGAUUUUGGCUCAGGUCAUAAUCUUACAGUCUGUGAGACUGAGCCCUGCAUUGGGCUCUGUGCUGACAGCAUGGAGCCUGCUUGGGGUUUUCUGUCUCCUCUUUCUCUGCCCCUCUCCUGCUUGUUCUCUCUCUCUCUCUCUCUCUCAAAAUAAACGUUAAAAAACCACAAAAAACCUUAUUAAAAAAAAUUGCUUUUUGCAUUUGUAAAUGUAAUUCUGUCAACUUUUAAGAGUUGGAAGGAAAUGAGAUAGAUAUAUGUUUUUAAAAAUGACUUUAGAAAAAUUGGAAAGAGGAGUUAGAUUUUCAUUUAUUAAAGAAUAUUCUGUUUUCUUUAGGAUAGACUAUAUUAUUUCAUAUGAUAUUUACUUUUGAAAGGAAGUUUGGAAUUGUUUAAGUGAAAUUUGAAUUUUAAGACUUUGUUUUAAAUAAAACUAACACCAAAGUAUACUCAAAAAGGAGAAUAGAAUCUCUGUUAAGGGUCAUGUAGUA